AGAGUUUGAUCCUGGCUCAGGACGAACGCUGGCGGCACGCUUAACACAUGCAAGUCGAACGAGAGAAGAGGAGCCUGCUUUUCUGAUCUAGUGGCGGACGGGUGAGUAACACGUGAGCAAUCUGCCUUUCAGAGGGGGAUACCGAUUGGAAACGAUCGUUAAUACCGCAUAACAUAAUUGAACCGCAUGAUUUGAUUAUCAAAGAUUUAUCGCUGAAAGAUGAGCUCGCGUCUGAUUAGCUAGUUGGUAAGGUAACGGCUUACCAAGGCGACGAUCAGUAGCCGGACUGAGAGGUUGAUCGGCCACAUUGGGACUGAGACACGGCCCAGACUCCUACGGGAGGCAGCAGUGGGGAAUAUUGCACAAUGGAGGAAACUCUGAUGCAGCGAUGCCGCGUGAGGGAAGAAGGUUUUAGGAUUGUAAACCUCUGUCUUCAGGGACGAAAAAAGACGGUACCUGAGGAGGAAGCUCCGGCUAACUACGUGCCAGCAGCCGCGGUAAUACGUAGGGAGCGAGCGUUGUCCGGAAUUACUGGGUGUAAAGGGAGCGUAGGCGGGAUCGCAAGUCAGAUGUGAAAACUAUGGGCUUAACCCAUAAGCUGCAUUUGAAACUGUGGUUCUUGAGUGAAGUAGAGGUAAGCGGAAUUCCUAGAGUAGCGGUGAAAUGCGUAGAUAUUAGGAGGAACAUCAGUGGCGAAGGCGGCUUACUGGGCUUUAACUGACGCUGAGGCUCGAAAGCGUGGGGAGCAAACAGGAUUAGAUACCCUGGUAGUCCACGCCGUAAACGAUGAUUACUAGGUGUGGGGGGACUGACCCCUUCCGUGCCGCAGCAAACGCAAUAAGUAAUCCACCUGGGGAGUACGACCGCAAGGUUGAAACUCAAAGGAAUUGACGGGGGCCCGCACAAGCAGUGGAGUAUGUGGAUUAAUUCGAAGCAACGCGAAGAACCUUACCAGGUCUUGACAUCGUAUGCAUAGCUCAGAGAUGAGUGAAAUCUCUUCGGAGACAUAUAGACAGGUGGUGCAUGGUUGUCGUCAGCUCGUGUCGUGAGAUGUUGGGUUAAGUCCCGCAACGAGCGCAACCCUUACUGUUAGUUGCUACGCAAGAGCACUCUAGCAGGACUGCCGUUGACAAAACGGAGGAAGGUGGGGAUGACGUCAAAUCAUCAUGCCCCUUAUGACCUGGGCCUCACACGUACUACAAUGGCUGUCAACAGAGGGAAGCAAAGCCGCGAGGUGGAGCGAACCCCUAAAAGCAGUCUUAGUUCGGAUUGUAGGCAGCAACCCGCCUACAUGAAGUCGGAAUUGCUAGUAAUCGCAGAUCAGCAUGCUGCGGUGAAUACGUUCCCGGGCCUUGUACACACCGCCCGUCACGCCAUGGGAGUCGGUAACACCCGAAGCCUGUAGUCUAACCGCAAGGAGGACGCAGUCGAAGGUGGGAUUGAUGACUGGGGUGAAGUCGUAACAAGGUA
This 1470-nucleotide ribosomal RNA is filed under the name metagenome. Its description in RNAcentral is "bacterial SSU rRNA". It matches the Rfam family "Bacterial small subunit ribosomal RNA". The record is from RNAcentral.